UUUGCCUUUUGUUUCAAAAAAAAAAGAAAAAAAAGCUUUAAGUUCUCCCUCAACCUCCCUCCUUAGCCGGCCAUGGCUCCGGUCAUCGGCCACCGCACCUGCCGCCGGACGCCGGCGACGGCUCCGCCGUCCGCGGUGGCCGGAAAACUAAAAUACUCCAUUUUGUUCCUUUUUUCGAAUAGAGCCCAGAUCUGGGGUCAAAACUACCAGAAAAACCCGGCGACAAGGGCCAAAAUCGGAAGAGACCUUUCGGUUCUUCUUCCUCACAUCCGCCGAAAUCAGGUAAGACUCUCCUCUUUAUUUUAUUUUAUUAUCUUGUUAUAUAUAUGUUGAUUAAAUGAGAAUGAAAAGAGAAAGAAACACUGUAGAAAACCAAAAUAGAACGAAAAUAAAGAAAAAGCAAUCGGAAAAACCAAGGUGAAUCACCUUCAAAACUUUUUAUUUCUUCCAAGUUUUUUUCUAAAAGCCGAACCUCUUUACAUGUUGUUAGUUUCGGCUUUUAUAGCCGAUUGUUUUACAUUUUUUUAUUCCUAUUUGAUUGCCUUUCUCUGCUGUUGCGUGUCCUUGCAGGUACUUGAUGGAAGUGGUUGGUGGUGGUUGCGGCGGUAGCAGGGGGCAAGUAGUAAUGUUGGUGGCGGCCAGGAGCAGGUAGGCUAGGGUUUCAAAAAACUGAAACCCUAGUUUGACUGGGUUCAAGGCCUGUUGGGUUAUUUGGGCCCGAUGUAGUUGGGCUUGGUUAUUAGGUUUUUGUUUUUGUUUUGUUGGGUUUUGGGUGUUGUGUGGGUUAGUUGGGCCCCGGGCAAAGUGGGCUUGUACACACGGAUCAUUCGUCUUUGCGAUGGAUGACUUAAUUACUAUAUGAUAGUAAUUUACUUUUCAUGAAAGAAAAUGUAAUGGUUACAAUGAGAUAAGAUAGGAUCAUAUUGGGAGAGCGGAUUUAUUCCAAAAAGAAUAAGGAUAUCCUAAGAGGAUAACACAUUUAUGACAAGGUCAUUGGACGAGUAUUGAUCGAGUAGCUUUCGUAAUGGUAUAUUGUUAGGGAGAGCUUAAUCACGAUACUAUAGUGAAAUGACUUCAUUACUAAAUGAGUUUAUAAUUAAUAGACGAAAAGCUGAAACUUGAUUAUAAAUCAUUUGAGCCCUAAUCACAUAUGUCCAAUCAAUCCCUUCAUUAGCUCGUUGAAACCAGAAAUUAAUUGCAUGUUGAAUCAAAUGAACAAAAAUGGAUAGAAAUGAUAAAGUUAGAGAAAUGGG
Molecule: long non-coding RNA, 1253 nt
Filed under: Gossypium raimondii (Peruvian cotton)
Lineage: Eukaryota; Viridiplantae; Streptophyta; Magnoliopsida; Malvales; Malvaceae
Description: long non-coding RNA (GRAI_LNC008980)
Source: RNAcentral